Non-coding RNA from Prunus avium (sweet cherry), 371 nucleotides. NCBI's taxonomy places the organism in Eukaryota, Viridiplantae, Streptophyta, Magnoliopsida, Rosales, Rosaceae. The record is from RefSeq and is a predicted model, not a curated record.
UUUUCAGACAUUUCUAUAACAAAAACAAACUGCAAAUUUUUUGUAAUCUUCACUCUCUCUCUCUCUCUCUCUCUCUCUCUCUCUCUCUCUGUUUAACUGGUCAAAUUAUUAGUGUAAUGCCAAUGCUCUAUUAUCCAUUCUAAUAUAUGCAUCAAAAUGUUAAUGUGUGCAGAUGUAUCGGACAGUGAAAACCACCGAUAAAGCAGCGCCCUCUUCAGGACAAUCUGAUGUGUAUGAAAAUGCUUCAUCUGGGGGGACACCACUGAAGACAUAAUGCUUGACCUUCAGAACCCAAGAAGGUCGUCUUGUGAUCAGCUCUCACCAGCUCAGCAGCAGCAGGGAUCAAGAUCCACUCCUCAGGUUCAAGAUAA